UAUAAAUGAAUGCAUAAGUCCAAAAAUUAUUUCUACUAUAAUGUUAAAAAGUGUGUACAAAUGAUAACGAUGGACCAGUAAAGCAGAGAACGUGUGCCACUAUGUGUUGCCUUUGAGUCAGGAGAGAAACUAUGGAUCAAAUACUUAACCUGACACCAGUGGCUAGCUAUUAAAAGCCUGCAUUGAGAAGGGAAGGGAGAACCAAGUAAACAACUUACUACAACAGUCUAUGUAAGGGAUCAAAGAAGACACAAUAAAUGAAAUCGUCGCUUAAAUCCUUGGAAAGGAAGGCGUGGUGCCCUGUGGCGGUGGGGUUCUGUGAUGGUAACCAUGAUCCCCGGCAGCCACUAUAUCUGCAGCACUCAUGCAAGAGAGGACGACUCCACGAACGAUCGAGAGGAGAGAAUUUUAGCCGUGCUGGGCAUCAUCGGAACCAUUCUCAAUCUUUUAGUGGUCAUCUUCGUCUACAUCUACACUUCUGUCACCUAAGACUUUGAGAUAGGCUAAAAUAAGAAUGACUGGCGCCCACCCAACGUCCCUCCCGCCAUACAUCUCUUCAAGUACUUAUGUGCGUUGAGGGUUAGAUCAUUAUGUGCUAAGAUAGAAAGAUUCUUGGCAGUGUGUACAGCCUGAAUUGUGGCCAACUGCAAGUGUAUCAAUUCACUGCCGUAAGAAUAGUCCCUCGCCAUUUCCAGCGGACUCCUGUCACGACAGAAAGGAGUUCCAUGAGGCAUCUUCUCUCCCUUCCUGCCUAUAUUGAACUUGUCAUUUCAAGAAAACCUCCUGCCAAAUCAUUGCUGACAGUCACUGCCUAUACUCAUGACUUGGCAUUUUUAUGAAAACGGGAUUUUAUCCGAUGGUGGAUUUUAAUGUGCUGUUUUUAAUACGAGACUAUAAAAGAAGCUUAUGUAAGUGUUUCUGUUCACAAGGUGAGGUUUGUUUCAUUGCAGAUUAAUAUUCACCCAAACGGAAGUAGCAGACUGACUCAAAGGUUACUAGGAACUAUCGACUGAAGGGCCUUUGUGCCUCUCCUUAAAAGUUGCAACUUAAUGGACUCAUCUUAUUGCAUAAUAUCAAUUGCUGUAUUAAGUGGGAUUUAAAAAAACAUUUUCAUGGACCUAACGUGUCCAUACCUGAGCACACCAGAGGAGAGAUUCCUGGCAGUGCUCGGUGUCAUCGGUAUCAUGCUCAAUCUUUUGCUGCUCGCCUUUGUCUACAUAUACACAUCCAGUUGAGAAACUCAUUCAAACACACUGUCAGGAAAUGUAAUACGAAGCAUAAGGCAGAUUUCAUGGAAGCAUGUAAAUAUCCUUCAGCUAACACUGAGUUUAAUCAUCUAUACUGCAUAUCUCAAAAUGAGAUAUUCAUGUCCUCUGAUAUUUUGACUGAAGUUUUGCAUCCUUCAGGUUGUAUUGUAUAAAUCUACCCCAGUUGAGAUGAACAUCGAGACAUGUUUAUUUAAACUUGCUUUGUGAUCUUAGUUAUGUGCUAAUCAAGCUGACAGAUGUAAUUGAAUUAAUGUUGUUUGCGCUUUAUGCCUUUUUGUGUUCACACUAUCAAACACAACAAGAUGGAACGAGAGGGUGCUGACAAGUCAGCGUACGCAGCAGUUCAUCAUAAGUGCAAAGAUCCUGCUCAAUGUCAUAGAAUAAUAGUUUAUUUCCUCUUGCCAUGUCUUUUUAAUUGGAUUUGUGAGUCAGUCGCGGAGCACUGUCAGAGGUGUGAAGGUUUGAAAAUGAGACAAUGUCACACAAAUCAAGACCGUGUGAUGCUGCAACACGAUUUAAAGGUGCAGGAUGUUUGCAGAAGAGAUAAUCUGAACCAGUGGGGAUUAUUUGACAUACAAAAGCCUCAAUCAUCUGGUUGUGGUUUCUUAUCAUGGGAUUACACCAAAAACUAUCUGAAAGCGGGUUCCAGCUUUUCCACUGGAGGCCCAUUCCAGCGUGGAUACGAUGCACAGGCUAAGAAAGCAGCAAGGACAGAUCUGAAUCUUCAUCUGAUCUUCAUUAUUCUCUUCUCUACCAACAAGCUCAAACCAGAGAAGACAUAAUACCAAAUGGACCCAUAUGACUCUCUGCUGUAAAGCACAUCACUUUUAUAUUGCAAUCAGUAUAUUUAAAUUUUGAGGACAAGCUGACAAUGAAUCACGGAAGCGACCUAAUUUUUCUUUUUGGCUUGUUAAAAGUUUUUUUUAAGAGUUUUUCAUCAAUACAGUGAAAGAAUCAUUGUACAGUUGCACAUAUCUGCAUUAUUGAAAAUAUGUUCAAAUAUACAUGUAUGUGUACAAACAAACAAACAAACAAACAAACAAACAAACAAACAAACAAACAAACACAAAUCUCUAGACAAACAAGAAGUCAAAAAUCUUCUGAUAGCAUGAUAAUAUUUUACUCACUACUUGCUAAUGGACUGACAAGACCCUUGAAAAUCACGUCACAUUACAUUCCAAAAGCAUUUGGAUAUCUCAGCUUUAGCCUUUUUAUUGCUUGGGACAUUAAAUUUUGUUUAAAUAAGGCUUAAAAGUUUUUGGGGGAGUUCAUCUAUUAAAAUGACAAUAUGCCAGA
Long non-coding RNA from Syngnathus acus (greater pipefish), 2564 nucleotides. RefSeq lists it as uncharacterized. The record is from RefSeq and is a predicted model, not a curated record. NCBI's taxonomy places the organism in Eukaryota, Metazoa, Chordata, Actinopteri, Syngnathiformes, Syngnathidae. The transcript is spliced from 2 exons.